This is a long non-coding RNA of Panthera uncia (snow leopard), 245 nucleotides long. RefSeq lists it as uncharacterized. NCBI's taxonomy places the organism in Eukaryota, Metazoa, Chordata, Mammalia, Carnivora, Felidae. The record is from RefSeq and is a predicted model, not a curated record. The transcript is spliced from 2 exons.
AAUGGGGUCACUGAAUCUGUCCUGGAACCUUAGGCAGGAUGCCAGAAGACUACACUGAUUCUCACCUGCAGUAAUUGCACUCCUGACCACUCACCAUCUGUUUCUCCCUGUGGUGUCCCACCAUGGUCAGUGCCCACAUCCACCUACAAACAGAACCAUUGCUGGUGAAAAAAAAGUGCCCUAACAUCAGCAGACCAAUGUGACUUUUCUUUCAUGCUUUGUUCGAUUUUGAUGCUCUGAGACAC